CACUGACACGCAGGGGAAGACUGUGCCAGGGCAGCGGGCACAGGGCUGGAGGGGGGGCAGAGCUCCUUCCUCUGCUCUCUCCUGCCUGCGCACCCUCUCUGUAGCCCUCCCUGCUCUCCUCCUUUCUUAGAUGCCAGCUGGUUACCAGUGUACCAGCUGGAACCAGAACAUGUGGACGUCAUCCGGGCCUUUGUCAGCAGCCCAGAAAAGGACGAGGAACGGAAGCUCCAGUUCCUUAAAAGCAUCGCUGUGCUCUUCAGAGCCGCAACGUACAACAGCUUGUGCCAGGGCCUAGAGCUGUUCUGCCAGAGAUACAAACUGGCAGAGAAUAUCAAGGUGCUGCUGGAAGAAGAGCCCAGGGACCAACUGCACACAGCGGUGUGGCGGAGCGCCAUGUUUGCCAUGACCGAAAUGAGCUUCGUAGAGGCGGUGUUGGAGGGCAAAGAGAUAGGCCUCCUCCAAGUGUGCUUCUCCGGCAUCUUCCUGCUUCCUCCAAAAGAGGAAAUGCAGGACCUGAAACCUUUCCUGUACUUCACG
Columba livia (rock pigeon) is the source of this 537-nucleotide long non-coding RNA. RefSeq lists it as uncharacterized. The record is from RefSeq and is a predicted model, not a curated record. Lineage: Eukaryota; Metazoa; Chordata; Aves; Columbiformes; Columbidae. The transcript is spliced from 4 exons.